AACGAACGCUGGCGGCGCGUCUUAAGCAUGCAAGUCGGACGGCAAGGGUAGCAAUACCCCUAGAGUGGCGGACUGGUGAGUAACGCGUGGGUGACCUGCCCUUGAGUUGGGGAUAGCCAUUAGAAAUAGUGGAUAAUACCGAAUACGAUCGCUGUCACUGUGGUGAUGCGAUGAAAGGAGCUACGGCUCCGCUCGAGGAUGGGCCCGCGUCCCAUUAGCUAGUUGGUGAGGUAACGGCCCACCAAGGCGACGAUGGGUAUCCGGCCUGAGAGGGUGUACGGACACAUUGGGACUGAGAUACGGCCCAAACUCCUACGGGAGGCAGCAGCUAAGAAUAUUCCGCAAUGGACGAAAGUCUGACGGAGCGACGCCGCGUGGAUGAAGAAGGCCGAAAGGUUGUAAAAUCCUUUUGCUGAUGAAGAAUAAGUGGAGUAGGGAAUGAUUCCAUGAUGACAUUAGUCGGUGAAUAAGCCCCGGCUAACUACGUGCCAGCAGCCGCGGUAACACGUAGGGGGCAAGCGUUGUUCGGAAUUACUGGGCGUAAAGG
This 547-nucleotide ribosomal RNA is filed under the name uncultured bacterium. RNAcentral describes it as "bacterial SSU rRNA". It matches the Rfam family "Bacterial small subunit ribosomal RNA", at positions 28 to 566 of the family's 1533-position model. The record is from RNAcentral.